Maniola jurtina (meadow brown) is the source of this 284-nucleotide long non-coding RNA. RefSeq lists it as uncharacterized. The record is from RefSeq and is a predicted model, not a curated record. The transcript has 3 exons. NCBI's taxonomy places the organism in Eukaryota, Metazoa, Arthropoda, Insecta, Lepidoptera, Nymphalidae.
UUAUGAAUUGUUCAAUAAGUGACUUUUUAAGUUUGUAUGCUCAUAUACAAGUAUGUACCUAAUAAGACAUCAUAACGAUGUAUAAGAACGCCAACACAAUAUCUCAACUACAGUUUGUACCUUAUGAGGUUUUACAACUCACCAACGUUGAUCGAAUUCGAGCAUCGAAACACUUCAGCGAUAAAAUAAAAUGGACUUUAAUUACCUUAUUUUAAAACUCAAGUUCGUCCACACAUCUACAGCUAGAGUUCCAAAUGGAAAACUUGCAAAAUUAAAAUCGGUGG